Molecule: ribosomal RNA, 241 nt
Filed under: uncultured bacterium
Lineage: Bacteria
Description: partial 16S ribosomal RNA
Rfam family: Bacterial small subunit ribosomal RNA
Source: RNAcentral
CACGCCCUAAACGAUGAUUACUCGAUGUGUGCGAUACACUGUACGCGUCUGAGCGAAAGCAUUAAGUAAUCCACCUGGGAAGUACGACCGCAAGGUUGAAACUCAAAGGAAUUGACGGGGGCCCGCACAAGCGGAGGAGCAUGUGGUUUAAUUCGAUGAUACGCGAGGAACCUUACCAGGGCUUGAAAGUUAGUGAAUGAUGUGGAAACAUGUCAGCCAGCAAUGGCACGAAACUAGGUGC